RNAcentral lists this long non-coding RNA (721 nucleotides) under Ananas comosus (pineapple). RNAcentral describes it as "long non-coding RNA (ACOM_LNC000402)". The record is from RNAcentral. Lineage: Eukaryota; Viridiplantae; Streptophyta; Magnoliopsida; Poales; Bromeliaceae.
ACACUAUUGGAGUGUACAAAUAGUAUUUUUGCGAUAAUUGUCUAUUUACUUUUCAAAUUUUAAAAAAUAUUUAAUUUAUUUUUUUUUGUUUCAAAUAUAUUCCUUCGUUAUUCAAAAAUACCUCCGCAGUUAUCACCUGUUAAGUUAUUUCGUAUUGAACGUGAGUUAACUAUCUACCUGAGUUAAAAAAAAAAAUCGAAAUAUCUCUUUUGCCCUUAACUUAAAGGCAAAUAAAAGAAGUUGGUGAUUGUAGAAGGGUAUAUUCAAAAUAUCUUUUCUGCUCCCAACUUAAGUGCAAAUAAGAAAAGUUGGUAAUAGUAGAAGAUUAUAUUUGAAACGACAAAAUAGUAUUUCACAGAGAUAAUGGCCAUUGCUAAAAGAAUUUAACUUUAAGAGUAUAUUUGAAAUAACUUGGAACGUUAAAAGAAUAUUUUUAAUAUUAGCCUUUUAAGAAGAGUAAAUUAAAAAAUUAAAAAAUUUUCAGGAAUAUAUAAGCAAUUGCCCCUGUAAUUUUUUUUUUAUGACGGAUAACACAAUCUUACUUAUUUUGGGAUGGUGUUUUGUUAUUAAAAUAAAAGACUAUUUUUUAUUUAAGUUCGGUCCUUUUUUUCUCAAAAAGUGAACUUAACUUAAAAUAUAAAACAACUUGAGAUUUCGAAUAUUAACUAUUAAGUUUUUUUGCCACUUGUGCUAGUUACAAACGGUAAACCAUCUUUUUUUC